Cuculus canorus (common cuckoo) is the source of this 1809-nucleotide long non-coding RNA. RefSeq lists it as uncharacterized. The transcript has 4 exons. NCBI's taxonomy places the organism in Eukaryota, Metazoa, Chordata, Aves, Cuculiformes, Cuculidae. The record is from RefSeq and is a predicted model, not a curated record.
GUUGGAGAGCUGUACAUUUCAGUGCAGAGGAAAACGGCAGCAGGUGGCAGGGAAGAUGGUCAGGACCAAGGCCCCUUGAGGUAUUGCAUUAUUGGGCCUGCCUGAAGUGACAAACCUCAGAGACCUCCUCCCUCCUCUUACACCAGAGCAGAGUGUAUCUCUGUGACUACUGGAAAUGUUCAUCCUGGUAAACCUCAUCCAUAAAAGAAACCUCCCAGGACUCCUCAGGAGCGGAACAGUGCAUUUUUUGAGAGAGCUGUUAAUGGAUGUUGCCUUUUCUUUGAAGUCAAAUAUACUUUUGCUCUUCUUGGCCUAACUGCGGCAGCCACCUAUGCAAAGAGGGCUGUGUUUGCCACUGUCAUCCUGAAGACAUCACAGCAGACCUGCUCCCCGGGCCAUGCAUUGCUUCAGCAGUGGAGAUUGGACCUCAGCUCUACAAACCCCAGGUGUCCUUCCUUCCUGAGCACCCUCCUCUUCAAAGCUGGCUUCCUUCAGCUGUAGGUGGGGUUCGUGCUGCUGCAUUGUUCCCGGAGUACUGAGCCUUAUUUACCCAGCUGGUGUCAGUUCAGAGAUCUGUUUAGAUUGUUCUGUAGAAAGAUUUGCCUGAAAGGUUUGCAUAUUUCAAGAAACCGCAAUGAUUAAGUACACAUGAAAGAAAGCAUUAUGAUGAAUAAUCAAGACAUAAUCAAUGAUACCCUUUUUGCAUUAUAAAUGAUGACGCUUAUACUCAACAGCUUUUAGGCAGAGCGUGGGUGUGACAGUUUGAAAAACAGCGUAUAGCAUGACAUGAGACCUGUCGUGUCUUAAAUGAAGUAAUUAAUGACCUGCUAAGCAUGCAGAUUUUAAAUGUGUCAGUUAUUUUUUUGAAAUAUAUCAACAGCAAAAAAUUAUUUGCAAUUUAUCAUUAUUAUUAGCAAAAACCUAUAAUAAGAAUGCUGAGGUGCAAUGAGAAAUAGCACUGUUAUGACAAAAAUGCUUUAUGCUUUUACCACUGAAAAAAUUAAAUCAAACCUCCCUCUGAGGUUCUUCUCACUCAACAUCCUCCUCAGUGUAUCAUAUAAGAGGGAGACAGCUUUAUUUUUUGUAUACACGGACUGGCUAUGUUUUAGGACAUUGACCUCAAGUCCAGAACCCACUGCUUAAAACUGUGGCUUGAAAGAAAAACAUAAAUUAAGUUUUUCUGCCAAAUGUCUGAUCCUAAUCCUGCAAUAUCUGAAUUUGUGCAACUCUCCUUCCAAAACUUGACUGGCAUAAGAAAAGGUCAGCUUUCAAUUUUAAAGAAAGUUGAAUAAAGCAUGAUUUUCUAGGUGUUUGUCAAGUCUAGCAGAGAAGCAAGAUACAGACCUACUGGUGUGUUCCCAUCUGAAUCUUAUCCUGAUAGCUGUGGUUCACCAACCAUUGCCAUUUUGUAAAUAUUUAUUGUUUUUAAUUUUUUUGGUAACAAUGAAUACAAGAUGCAAAAUGGACAGAUUUAUUCUCCACAGGAGUUCUUUAAAUACCUCCUUAUACUUCACAGAUUAAACAAGGUUUUUAGGCGAACUCUAGAUUGUGGACAAUGGUGCUUAUAUGCAGUGCUGGAAGUGGAUGGUUUGGGAAGUACUUAACCGCCUCAAAAACACUACGCAUUUGUUUUGGUAUUGAAAAUCUUACCUUUUAUAUGGUUUUGACUUCUGAAAGCUUGAAAUAAACAAAGCACAGAAAAGGUUCACUUUAAUCUCUUUGGCAUCUGGAAUAUAAAGUGGAGCUCAAGAGAUUAUAAUUUAACAGAGAAUAUUCCUUAAUCUAAGAAUGUGCUGUUUUAAGAUUGUG